Molecule: long non-coding RNA, 519 nt
Filed under: Olea europaea subsp. europaea
Lineage: Eukaryota; Viridiplantae; Streptophyta; Magnoliopsida; Lamiales; Oleaceae
Source: RNAcentral
AUAAACAACAAUACACAAAGCCACACUCCAGAAAAUUUUAUAAUAGAUUCAUAUCCUUGACCAAAAAAAAAAAUGAGUAUUCAAGCUAGACAUUCGAAAUCUUUCAACUUGAAUAUCAAUGCACCUAACAUCAUCAACACUAGGAAAAUAAAAUUAAAAAUAAAAUUCAUUUUAAUAAAAAGAAUUAAAGAUUGCUUCAUUUUUGCAAAGUUGCCUGCAGAAAGGCUAAAAAACAAAAUUUAAAUUUAAAUGCAAGGUAUAUGCGUUUCAAAACCUCAAGGAAUAGGGUAAAAUACUUUGCUGACGUUACCUUUCACAUACACAUAAUUCAAGUCAUAAUUUAUUCCCUCCCGAGGUUGCUGCCCUGUGCUCUGCUUGCUUCAGACUCAACUCUCGUAUGAUCUGCAAGUAAUAUAUAAACCAGCGUGCCAAAGUGUACCGUGUUAGAAUUCAAAAAUGUUUCAAUGAAAAGCACAUCUAAAGAAAAAGGAGCAACUGUAGGCAAUAGAUAUCAAGAAC